AUAACGACUCUCGGCAACGGAUAUCUAGGCUCUAGCAUCGAUGAAGAACGUAGCAAAAUGCGAUACUUGGUGUGAAUUGCAGAAUCCCGUGAACCAUCGAGUUUUUGAACGCAAGUUGCGCCCGAAGCCAUUAGGCUGAGGGCACGUUUGCCUGGGCGUCAGG
RNAcentral lists this ribosomal RNA (163 nucleotides) under Pentanisia confertifolia. RNAcentral describes it as "5.8S ribosomal RNA". It matches the Rfam family "5.8S ribosomal RNA". From Rfam's summary of the family: 5.8S ribosomal RNA (5.8S rRNA) is a component of the large subunit of the eukaryotic ribosome. It is transcribed by RNA polymerase I as part of the 45S precursor that also contains 18S and 28S rRNA. The record is from RNAcentral. Lineage: Eukaryota; Viridiplantae; Streptophyta; Magnoliopsida; Gentianales; Rubiaceae.